Long non-coding RNA from Sinocyclocheilus grahami, 127 nucleotides. RefSeq lists it as uncharacterized. The record is from RefSeq and is a predicted model, not a curated record. NCBI's taxonomy places the organism in Eukaryota, Metazoa, Chordata, Actinopteri, Cypriniformes, Cyprinidae. The transcript has 3 exons.
CCCUGCGAGAAAAAUACCAGCAGCUGAGCAACUGAGGGGUGAAAAGAGAUGUAACUCCCAGGACAAGAUAACAAAAUGUAACAAAUGCUUUACAUGUACACUACUGAUAAAAAAAGUUUCAAUUAAG